ACCCUUAUGUUCACAUUAUAGGCCUCUGUUGCUAACGCAGUGUUCAAGUUCACUUUUUCUAUAUCUCUCUUAUGCUCCUUAAGUCUUUGACGCAAAGUCCUUGUCGUCAACCUACAUAUACUGCUGUUUGAUGGGUAUCUUGAUGCCCAUCUAAUCUGCCAUGAGUCCUUCUUUAAGUUUAACGGACAAUUUUAUCAGCAACUUACAGCAUCUCAAUAGAAAGUCCGAUGGCAGGGCCAUUAGUGGAGAUUGUGUUAAGGACUAUAGAAUCACAAAUACUAGCCAGCUUCCAACCAGAUAUCAUGGUAUAUAUCAGAUAUGUAGAUGACAUACUAACAGUUUGGCAGGAUGAAAAAAGAGUAGGAGAAUUUACUGCAGCCUUCUCGUUACCAGCUUACGGGCUAAUUCUUAAAAAAAGACCACUAAAGCAAAUGCAGUAUACAUUACCUGGAUAUUACACUAAUGAUAGAUAACUAAACAUUGAAGACUGCUGUUUACAGGAAGUCCAUCCAUCAGCCAGUUCUAAUACCCAGCUGGUCUUUUCUUUUCUUUCUUUUG
RNAcentral lists this long non-coding RNA (558 nucleotides) under Androctonus crassicauda. The record is from RNAcentral. Lineage: Eukaryota; Metazoa; Arthropoda; Arachnida; Scorpiones; Buthidae.